ACAAGACGAGUCCUCCUGCACCAGACUUGUCCUCCUGCACCAGACUUGUCCUCCUGCACCUGCCAGAAUUCAUAUGCUUGUCCCGAAGACUCAAGCCAUGCAUGCCAAUGACUACCGUUGCCCACUCUGGGCUAUUGAGGCCCCCCAACGCUGGGGGGAACCACCUCAUAUGGACGGUUAUCAGCGAACGGCUCCGCAUAUCUGUUGUAACCUAUCGUGACACAUUGGGCGUGGAUAACCACGGAAAAGCUGUGUAUAAAACAAAUACACGGGGCACUGAUGGUGGCAUUCGCUAGCCCCAUCAUAAGCUGGCUCAGAAAUGGGCCACGCCCUGCAAUAGCUACCCAUAAGUAUCAAGUACCCAGGCCCGCAUCUGGUGUGUUUCCCCUCUCCCUGGCGGAGAAGGGGGGCGGAGUUCUGGGGAAACUGUGGCCUCUGCUUCCGAGGAGAGAAGAUUUUGUCCACCCCCCGGUGGCCUUGGGUUUGUAUACCGGGCCUGUGGGGGACUCUUUAACCGAGGAGUCAAUAAGCAGAAACUAACCACAAGUGCACGAUGGGCUUCAGACCUAUCAGCUAGAUGGUAGGGUAUAGGCCUACCAUGGCAAUGACGGGUACAGAGGAUUAGGGUUUGAUCCUGGAGAGGUAGCCUGAGAAAUCGCUCCCACUUCUAAGGAAGGCAGCAGGCGCGUAACGUUCCCAAUGCUAGGAUCCGUAGUGAGGACGUAAUCGGGAGGAACAAGUACCCUGCUGGAGGACAAGUCUGGUGCCGGAGGACAAGUCU
Molecule: ribosomal RNA, 781 nt
Filed under: Lycogala sp.
Lineage: Eukaryota; Evosea; Eumycetozoa; Liceales; Enteridiidae
Description: SSU rRNA
Rfam family: Eukaryotic small subunit ribosomal RNA
Source: RNAcentral